This is a long non-coding RNA of Xenia sp. Carnegie-2017, 703 nucleotides long. RefSeq lists it as uncharacterized. Lineage: Eukaryota; Metazoa; Cnidaria; Anthozoa; Malacalcyonacea; Xeniidae. The record is from RefSeq and is a predicted model, not a curated record. The transcript has 4 exons.
UUUUGCUUAUUGUUUUUCUUUAACACUUUAUUGACACUUGACACAACAUUCAAAAUAGAUAUAUUCUAUUCAAACAGUUCAUGAAAAAAAUUAUUGCUUUGUUCCGACAGUUGGAUUGGCUGGAUUUGAACAGGACGUUCUAUACGAGAAGGGAUUACGUUGGUUUUAUUCAGUUAUUUUGGGGAUGAUUGACGUAUUAUCAGUGUACCGUAUGUCAAGAAGCAUCCUAUGGUGAUACAGCAUUCGUUCUCCGCAAGAAUAUUUCUCUCCACAUAUCUGUUGUAAAAGAGUGAAAGACAAAUAAUAUUUUAAAGAACAUAUAAAGUUUUUUUUGAAAGCUGAAACAAGCCAAUAUUGUGAAUAAUCUUUUGUAUAACAUCUCUAACUAAAGCAAUAUCGUUAAAAUGGAUAAAGUUCAAGAACUUUCUGAAGCACUGCCUUUACCAAGUCAGCCAUUCUUAAACGUCGAAGUAAAUGAAUGCAAAGAAAGAUUGACGUCACUGGUCAUAUGUUGUGCUUCAACAGACUCACUUCUUCAAAUACCACUGUGCUGUCAAAACGUGAACAAAACCAUUUAUUCAAUUUGAUAAUAAGCAUUAACAUCUUAAUAGUAUUUACCACUUUAUUUUAGCACUAUCCCAGAGUAUAGAAUUAUAAAGCUUGUCAAAGACUUUCUUAUCAACAUGAAAACAAUUCAUGGCGA